This 711-nucleotide ribosomal RNA is filed under the name Chaetothyriales sp. RNAcentral describes it as "SSU rRNA". It matches the Rfam family "Eukaryotic small subunit ribosomal RNA", at positions 28 to 748 of the family's 1831-position model. Lineage: Eukaryota; Fungi; Ascomycota; Eurotiomycetes; Chaetothyriales. The record is from RNAcentral.
AUGCUUGUCUCAAAGAUUAAGCCAUGCAUGUCUAAGUAUAAGCAACUAUACUGUGAAACUGCGAAUGGCUCAUUAAAUCAGUUAUCGUUUAUUUGAUAGUACCUUUACCUGGAUAACCGUGGUAAUUCUAGAGCUAAUACAUGCUAAAAACCUCGACUUCGGAAGGGGUGUAUUUAUUAGAUAAAAAACCAAUGCCCUUCGGGGCUCCUUGGUGAAUCAUAAUAACUUAACGAAUCGCAUGGCCUUGCGCCGGCGAUGGUUCAUUCAAAUUUCUGCCCUAUCAACUUUCGAUGGUAAGAUAGAGGCUUACCAUGGUCUUAACGGGUAACGGGGAAUUAGGGUUCUAUUCCGGAGAGGGAGCCUGAGAAACGGCUACCACAUCCAAGGAAGGCAGCAGGCGCGCAAAUUACCCAAUCCCGACACGGGGAGGUAGUGACAAUAAAUACUGAUACGGGGCUCUUUUGGGUCUCGUAAUUGGAAUGAGUACAAUCUAAAUCCCUUAACGAGGAACAAUUGGAGGGCAAGUCUGGUGCCAGCAGCCGCGGUAAUUCCAGCUCCAAUAGCGUAUAUUAAAGUUGUUGCCGUUAAAAAGCUCGUAGUUGAACCUUGGGCCUGGCUGACCUGUCCUCCUAAUCGAGCGCACGGGUUCGGUCGGGCCUUUCCUUCUAGGGAACCCCAUGCCCUUCACUGGGUGUGGUGGGGAACUAGGAC